Molecule: ribosomal RNA, 460 nt
Filed under: uncultured bacterium
Lineage: Bacteria
Description: partial 16S ribosomal RNA
Rfam family: Bacterial small subunit ribosomal RNA
Source: RNAcentral
CCUACGGGAGGCAGCAGUGAGGAAUAUUGGUCAAUGGGCGAAAGUCUGAACCAGCCAAGUCGCGUGAAGGAUGAAUGCUCUAUGGGUUGUAAACUUCUUUUAUAGGGGAAUAAAAUGUUGCACGUGUGGGGUUUUGUGUGUACCUUAUGAAUAAGGAUCGGCUAACUCCGUGCCAGCAGCCGCGGUAAUACGGAGGAUCCGAGCGUUAUCCGGAUUUAUUGGGUUUAAAGGGUGCGUAGGUGGAUUUUUAAGUCAGUUGUGAAAUUUUGGGGCUCAACCUGAGGAUUGCCUUUGAAACUGGCAGUCUUGAGUACAGGAGAGGUAGGCGGAAUUCGUGGUGUAGCGGUGAAAUGCUUAGAUAUCACGAAGAACUCCGAUUGCGAAGGCAGCUCACUGGACUGCAACUGACACUGAGGCUCGAAAGCGUGGGUAUCAAACAGGAUUAGAUACCCCAGUAGUC